UACAUAAACAAAAUUAUUCGCCAGAGUACUACUAGCAACAGCUUAAAACUCAAAGGACUUGGCGGUGCUUUAUAUCCUUCUAGAGGAGCCUGUUCUAUAAUCGAUAAACCCCGAUAAACCUCACCAAUUCUUGCUAAUACAGUCUAUAUACCGCCAUCUUCAGCAAACCCUAAAAAGGAAAAAAAGUAAGCGUAAUUAUGAUACAUAAAAACGUUAGGUCAAGGUGUAACCUAUGAAAUGGGAAGAAAUGGGCUACAUUCUCUACACUAAGAGAAUCAAGCACGAAAGUUAUUAUGAAACCAAUAACCAAAGGAGGAUUUAGCAGUAAACUAAGAAUAGAGUGCUUAGUUGAAUUAGGCCAUGAAGCACGCACACACCGCCCGUCACCCUC
This 391-nucleotide ribosomal RNA is filed under the name Bos indicus (zebu cattle). Its description in RNAcentral is "partial 12S ribosomal RNA". It matches the Rfam family "Bacterial small subunit ribosomal RNA", at positions 852 to 1404 of the family's 1533-position model. The record is from RNAcentral. Lineage: Eukaryota; Metazoa; Chordata; Mammalia; Artiodactyla; Bovidae.